RNAcentral lists this ribosomal RNA (253 nucleotides) under uncultured bacterium. Its description in RNAcentral is "partial 16S ribosomal RNA". It matches the Rfam family "Bacterial small subunit ribosomal RNA", at positions 524 to 776 of the family's 1533-position model. The record is from RNAcentral.
UACGGGGGGAGCAAGCGUUGUUCGGAUUCAUUGGGCGUAAAGGGUGCGUAGGUGGCGCUGUAAGUCGGGUGUGAAAUUUCGGAGCUUAACUCCGAAACUGCAUUCGAUACUGCGGUGCUUGAGGACUGGAGAGGAGACUGGAAUUCAUGGUGUAGCAGUGAAAUGCGUAGAGAUCAUGAGGAAGACCAGUGGCGAAGGCGGGUCUCUGGACAGUUCCUGACACUGAGGCACGAAGGCCAGGGGAGCAAACGGG